RNAcentral lists this non-coding RNA (957 nucleotides) under Chaetobranchopsis orbicularis. RNAcentral's name for it is "12S ribosomal RNA". It matches the Rfam family "Bacterial small subunit ribosomal RNA". RNAcentral also lists the same sequence under 1 other name. The record is from RNAcentral. Lineage: Eukaryota; Metazoa; Chordata; Actinopteri; Cichliformes; Cichlidae.
CAAAGGCUUGGUCCUGACUUUACUGUCAGCUUUGGCUAAACUUACACAUGCAAGUCUCCGCAGCCCUGUGAGAAUGCCCACAGUUCUCUGCCCGAGAACAAGGAGCUGGUAUUAGGCACAUAUUUUUAUCUAGCCCAUGACACCUUGCUUAGCCACACCCUCAAGGGAACUCAGCAGUGAUAGACAUUAAGCCCUAAGUGAAAACUUGACUUAGUUAUAGCCAAAACUUUUUAGGGCCGGUAAAACUCGUGCCAGCCACCGCGGUUAUACGAGAGACCCAAGUUGACAGACACCGGCGUAAAGGGUGGUUAGAGACCCACACUACACUAAAGCCAAAUGUCUUCAGAAUUGUUAUAUAUCCACGAAGAUAAGAAGUUCAAUUACGAAAGUGGCUUUAUCAUUCUCGACCCCACGAAAGCUGUGAAACAAACUGGGAUUAGAUACCCCACUAUGCCCCGCCUUAAACAUAGAUAAUUUUAUAUAUUAUCCGCCAGGGUACUACGAGCACCAGCUUAAAACCCAAAGGACUUGGCGGUGCUUUAGAUCCACCUAGAGGAGCCUGUUCUAGAACCGAUAAUCCCCGUUUAACCUCACCCUCCCUUGUCAUUUACCGCCUAUAUACCGCCGUCGUCAGCUUACCCUAUAAAGGUAUUACAGUAAGCAAAACUAGCACUUAACCCAAAACGUCAGGUCGAGGUGUAGCAUAUGAGAGGGGAAGAAAUGGGCUACAUUUCCUGCCACAGGAAACACGAACAAUGUAAUGAAAAGUACAUUAGAAGGAGGAUUUAGCAGUAAGCAGAAAAUAGAGAGUCCUGCUGAAACUGGCCCUGAAGCGCGCACACACCGCCCGUCACUCUCCCCAAACAUAACUAUUAAUAAUAACUAAUAAAUUUGUCAAAACAAAGGGGAGGCAAGUCGUAACAUGGUAAGUGUACCGGAAGGUGCACUUGGAAAAAU